CUUUUAGUGUAAAUCAGACUAAAAUAAUUUUAGUUUGAGCGGUUAAAAUCAAAUAUGAUUUUGCCAUGAGAAUAAUGCCGAAACUGGCAUCGUAGUCAAACACUGUCGUCUGGCUAAAUUUAGAUCUACAAAUUUUUAUACAUCUAUUAGGUACAUUUAAUCAUCUAGACUCUAAUUUGAGAAUAUUAUUAUUAAUUGAAAGAGGAAUGAAGAUUACUGCCAGUGAAGAACAUUUGUGAGUGUAUGACGUGCCCAUAAGAUGCCACAUUUUCUUUCAUGAUGAACUGUGUACUAAUGAAGAUGAUUCUGGAAUGUUAUGAACAUUGACAUGAAUAUGAGGAACUGUCUGGUCAAGAUGAAGAUGUCAAGAUUUUAUGUUUGUUGUCUUCCCCUUAAAUUGAAAAUGCCCUUGUAAGACUUGACAGUAGUGGAAAAAUAUUGACAUAUUUUUUUUUCAAGGGGGGGAGGAAUCUGUUAGACACCUUAUUUAUAUAGGUUAGUUAUUUAGCGACGCACCAUAGAAGACGCAUAUUGAAUGGGACUAGUGACGUUUGGAAUAUGUUGGGUUAGAGACCGGAAAAUCAGUUAGCGAUAGAAUACUCCAGGGUAACGACGUGUUUAGUGACAGAGACUUCUACUGUGGCCUUUUAUCAGAAUAAAUCGAUGUGAAAUUGUU
Long non-coding RNA from Biomphalaria glabrata, 676 nucleotides. RefSeq lists it as uncharacterized. Lineage: Eukaryota; Metazoa; Mollusca; Gastropoda; Planorbidae. The record is from RefSeq and is a predicted model, not a curated record. The transcript is spliced from 2 exons.